Long non-coding RNA from Rana temporaria (common frog), 491 nucleotides. RefSeq lists it as uncharacterized. Lineage: Eukaryota; Metazoa; Chordata; Amphibia; Anura; Ranidae. The record is from RefSeq and is a predicted model, not a curated record. The transcript is spliced from 2 exons.
UUCUUUUUUGCGAUUCUUCCUGCGUUUUUUUGCCUGCGGCAUCGUUGAUAUUAUCCUGUCCUCUUAUUUAUUUAUAUUUUGGACAGGUAAAAAUAAAAAUACAACCAAUAAACUUUUUACGCUGUGACACUUCGGGCCAAAGGUCUUGCUACGCUGUGAUUGAUAUUAGAUGCCAGUCCUCACUCCUCUCUUCACCAUCUGAGGUUUGCCAUGCGUCCCGACCGCGAUGUCCUUUUAAGGGGUGUGCUGAGCCGUUGAAACUUCUUGGGUGAAAAGUUGUUUGUUACACUUUCUGACUCCACACAUACUUCGGUCCCUGAAGAAGGAAACCCGAAACGCGUUGGGCCCAGUAUUCAUAUUGUGGACUCUUCACUCUUUUCCUACUACACCCCAUUAAUGUGUUGUUUUUAAACCUUUGUAUUAUACACGUUUACUAAAUAUUGUUUGAUACCGUUUUGUUACUAUUAAACUAUUAUAUAUUUUUGUAUCUA